UGCACCUGAUGGCGAGUGGCGAACGGGUGAGUAAUGCAUCGGAACGUGCCCAAUCGUGGGGGAUAACGCAGCGAAAGCUGUGCUAAUACCGCAUACGAUCUAUGGAUGAAAGCGGGGGACCUUCGGGCCUCGCGCGAUUGGAGCGGCCGAUGUUAGAUUAGGUAGUUGGUGGGGUAAAGGCUCACCAAGCCGACGAUCUAUAGCUGGUCUGAGAGGACGACCAGCCACACUGGAACUGAGACACGGUCCAGACUCCUACGGGAGGCAGCAGUGGGGAAUUUUGGACAAUGGGCGCAAGCCUGAUCCAGCAAUACCGCGUGCAGGAAGAAGGCCUUCGGGUUGUAAACUGCUUUUGUACGGAACGAAAAGGCUCUUUCUAAUAAAGAGGGCUCAUGACGGUACCGUAAGAAUAAGCACCGGCUAACUACGUGCCAGCAGCCGCGGUAAUACGUAGGGUGCGAGCGUUAAUCGGAAUUACUGGGCGUAAAGCGUGCGCAGGCGGUUUUGUAAGACAGACGUGAAAUCCCCGGGCUCAACCUGGGAAUUGCGUUUGUGACUGCAAGGCUAGAGUACGGUAGAGGGGGGUAGAAUUCCGCGUGUAGCAGUGAAAUGCGUANAUAUGCGGAGGAACACCGAUGGCGAAGGCAGCCCCCUGGACCUGUACUGACGCUCAUGCACGAAAGCGUGGGGAGCAAACAGGAUUAGAUACCCUGGUAG
This 717-nucleotide ribosomal RNA is filed under the name uncultured Comamonadaceae bacterium. RNAcentral's name for it is "bacterial SSU rRNA". It matches the Rfam family "Bacterial small subunit ribosomal RNA", at positions 80 to 793 of the family's 1533-position model. The record is from RNAcentral. Lineage: Bacteria; Pseudomonadati; Pseudomonadota; Betaproteobacteria; Burkholderiales; Comamonadaceae.